Molecule: long non-coding RNA, 3397 nt
Organism: Sciurus carolinensis (gray squirrel)
Lineage: Eukaryota; Metazoa; Chordata; Mammalia; Rodentia; Sciuridae
Exons: 5
Source: RefSeq, a predicted model, not a curated record
UCUGAGAAAAAACCAGGUUUGUGUAUAGUGUCCAUCCACACAGGAAUGCCAAGCAGCUUUCAUUUAAAAGUAAAGACCUUGCAUGAAGAGGAAGCCUGCCUUGGAAAAGAGAAGAGAACAACAAAAAAGGACAGAAAAAAGAAAGCAGCCCAGGGCCUGCAGAAGUGGUGGUGUCCAGCCCUGGCCGGCUCACGACCUGUCCCCUCAAGGACAACGUCGGUCCCUGUGGAGAAGCCACAGACAAGGGGGAUAACCCCUGGCCCAGAGCAAGUUUGUGCUUCUGGACAAAGGUAUUCUGCCACAGUGAGUGGUGCAUUUGACGGGUUGCAGAGAGGAGCUGGAGCCAGACCCUGUGUCCCCUUCCUGCAGGAAAGAGACCAGAGAAUGAAGAGAGGCACAUUUCAGGAAGCCAUGACAGGCAGUGGGGAACGCAUCUCGUCCUUACAGUGGGAAACACGACGAAAACACUGACCUUUUGACCCACAGAUAUUUAAAGACCCAAAGCAUUAGGGCCCCUGGCGCUCACCAACCUUCCUGAGGAACCCCUCUGGGGACCCACCCCGGGAAACAUCCAGCACCAAGAGAAGCAAGCGUCAAGCCAAUAUAGUGAAGUUUAUUCCAAUACUGAAGCUACUGUGAGGUGCCAGCAAGCCCCUAUUACAGACCUGAAGGGGCAGAGAAGGACCUGCACCAAGCCAGGUGGUGCCCGAGCUUCAGCCCAGAGUUGGUUAGAAGCAGGCAUCUGGCUGGCACAGCGACAGUGACUUCAGAAGCCCAGGAGGUGGAAGGACUGCAUCAGCUGGAGGCCUUCAGCUGCAGAGAAGGUCCAGACUCCAGGGAUGGACUUGCCCAUGUCCACAGGGGUCAGGCCAGGAUCGGCAGAGUCCAAAGGUCCAAGACAGCCAGGUGGGGUGACCUGCCUGUAAGUGCAGGGGCCGCAUAGUGAGGGGGACCCAGAUGCAGGGGAGCAGCUGUCAGGAUGGAGAAGCGCCGUGUCCGGCACCCGCAUCCCUGGACCUCAGCAGACGGCAUCGCCGCGGGCAGGCUGUGAGCCUCCUUCCCUGGCAUGGAGGACACACCGCUGUCUCCCUGCAGACCUCGUUCUGUGCAUUGGCAGAGUGAGUGCAGGGUGUGCUUUGCACGUAGGCCUUGUGCUGGGAGCGUUCUCCUGCCCGGUCACGCCUGCUCACUGAUGGCUUCGCGGCCAGCAGGUGUGAUGUGAUGUGGUGUGGCCACCACAGGGUGCUCACGUUGGCUUCUGGGGGAGCAGGGCCAGCGGUCACCUCUGCCUCGCAGGCAGUCCUGAAGCUAGGCCCAUGUUGGGCCAGAAGCAGCCCUUGGAACCUGGGGGGUUGCACUUGCAGGACAUGGACAGUGAUGGGCUGACCAAUACUCCCGGACAGCCAGCAGACUCUGCUGCCAGCUGGAGCUGUAAGGGACCCCAGUCCCUGUCUCCCUGGGGUCCCCCGGCUCCUGGCCUGCUUCAGUCUUCCCAUGAGCCCCAGACUGACAGCAGGUGAUUGAAGAGUGGUUCUAGGCUGCCUAUGGCCUCUGGGUAUGGAAGCCAGUGCUUCAUGCUGCCCUGGGACCUCCAGGACCUCACAGGGCGGCCUCCCUAGAAACAGGCCUCUGCUGGAGCUGUUCCUGCUUGGCCUUGGAAAGGACAGGACCCCAUCCUUCCUGGUGCUGCCGGCCCUUCACCCCCACGUCACUGGACUCCAGGCCCCACCUUGGGGCCUGUGUUCUUGCCAUGGAUUCCCAAGGCUGGAGGACAGAGGCUGGACCAAAGGUACACCCCCACAGGCCUGGCCUGACCCCUUGCCCUAGGACACACAAAGGCCUGGGGAGGGGACAGGGAGAGCUUGCAUGCGAUCUGGGCAGUCCCUUUCCAGCCUCAGACUCUGUGGCUUGGGCCUCUGCGGGAUGCACCUUGACCACUGAGGCCUCCAGGUAGGCGAGGCCCGAGAGGAGGGCUGCCAGGGGAGCCCGGGCAACAGACACACGACCCCACAGCCCUGAGGGGCAGACAUGUCUGCUGGGCCCACGGCACCCAGGCUUCCGAGGCUUGUCUGGGGCAGAGAUGUCCAUGCUGCACCAUGGGGACGACCAAAGGGUUGGGGAGCUGCUGGCAGCCGAAACGUCUGCCCAGCUGGCCAGGAGGCUGCCCCAUCUCGGCCUCAUGGAGUCCUGCCCUUGGCAUCUUGAGCGUCUUUCCAGAACAGGGCUGCUUGUGCUCAGGUGCUCCCCAGUCACCCCUCUAAACAGAGACCGGGCUGGCGGGCUGUAAGGACAUCAGGCCUUGCCCCGCCCAGCCCCAGCACCAGCGUUCCGGUGUCCUCUCAAGGGCCUGCAGCCCCCCUUCCCUUCCUGCAGCCCUCUGACCCACCGCCCUGCUUCCUGGCUUGGUCCUCCCUCUUUCCCACACUCACACACCCUGGGGGCCCAUUGACGGCUGCAGGCUGCCUCUGAGCUGUGAGCAGCCUCCUGGCCUUCGCCCGGCAAGCCCUUGUUUGCCAAUAGAUAUUUGACCAGGGUGGGGCUUAGCGCUCAGGUUGGUCCUAACCGGGCCUAAAGUCAGAGGAUCCUAUGACAGUGCACAGAGACCUGGAGGCCGAGCCAGGGGCAGGGGCACGGGGGAGCGCCCUCAGCAGCACUCUCCGACUGCACUGGGGCUGGGCUCCAGCAUGUAAGCCCAAAGACUCCAGAGGCGGAGCUGCCCCUCUCUGAGAACGGCCACACAAGCAGAGCUGAAUCCCCCAUGGGAAGGAUGGGCCGAGGGAAGUCGCGCCAGCAGGUGAAGGACGCAGGGAAAGGCCCUGAGCAGCAGCCAGAUCCGUCACCCCACCCCAGUUCACGUGGCGCCCUGUGCCCCUGCCUUAGCUGCGUAGGGAGUGGGCCAGGUGUGGGAGGCCACAGCCCUGCAGGCCUGACUGACACUGGGGGUGGGAGGCUGCCUCCCACUCUCCCACGGGCCUUUGCUGGCUGCCCUGGAGCUGGCCCCAGGCGGACCUCAGAGACAGAGAGGCCCCCAUCUUGAAUGACUUACUGCCCACCACUUUCCUGCUUGUCCUUUGGGCCCCUGUGGGCGUGGGGAGGGGACCAUCAGCGCCUGGGGCAGGUCCUCGCCCCUUACUCUGUUUGCUCUGGUCAGUCCUGGAAGCCAUUGUUCCACAUGGGAUCUGUCGGUUUUUGCUGAUGGCUGGUGGUUUUUGCUGAUGGCUGGUGAUCGGUUGGGUAAUAGUACAAAGCCAGAUAUGCGUUUUGUUUUCCCUUAAUUCAUAGAAAUGCACAGUACAAGUCAAGCACAGUGGGGCACACCUAUAUUCCUAGCGGCUUGGGAGGCUGAGGCAGGAGAAUCCAGAGUUCAAAGCCAGCCUCAGUAAUGGCGAGGCACUAA